ACGAACGCUGGCGGCGUGCUUAACACAUGCAAGUCGAGCGGUAAGGCCCUUUUGGGGGUACACGAGCGGCGAACGGGUGAGUAACACGUGGGUGACCUGCCCUCAGCUCUGGGAUAAGCCUGGGAAACUGGGUCUAAUACUGGAUAUGACCUUUCCUCGCAUGGGGGUUGGGUGGAAAAGUUUUUUCGGCUGGGGGAUGGGCCCGCGGCCUAUCAGCUUGUUGGGUGGGUGAUGGCCUACCAAGGCGACGACGGGUAGCCGGCCUGAGAGGGCGACCGGCCACACUGGGACUGAGACACGGCCCAGACUCCUACGGGAGGCAGCAGUGGGGAAUAUUGCGCAAUGGGCGGAAGCCUGACGCAGCGAACGCCGCGUGGGGAUG
This 382-nucleotide ribosomal RNA is filed under the name uncultured bacterium. Its description in RNAcentral is "bacterial SSU rRNA". It matches the Rfam family "Bacterial small subunit ribosomal RNA", at positions 29 to 410 of the family's 1533-position model. The record is from RNAcentral.